GAGAAAAUAGGUCAGUAAAUGAAUAUAUGGCGAGCUUAUAUGGGUUUGCACAAUGCCCACAGUACAGAAGAAGGGUCAAACUACCACCAGGGUCAUAAAACUACUCUUGGAAAUGCCCACAACUCCUGCGAAACCCUUGUCAAAUAUGUGUUCUUAGCUUCAUGGUACAGAAGAAGGGUCAAACUACCACCAGGGUCAUAAAACUACUCUUGGAAAUCCACACAACUCCUACGGAAGCCUUGUCAAAUAUGUGUUCUUAUGUUCAUGGUACAGAAGAAGGGUCAAACUACCACCAGGGUCAUAAAACUACUCUUGGAAAUCCACACAACUCCUACGGAAGCCUUGUCAAAUAUGUGUUCUUAUGUUCAUGGUACAGAAGAAGGGUCAAACUACCACCAGGGUCAUAAAACUACUCUUGGAAAUCCACACAACUCCUACGGAAGCCUUGUCAAAUAUGUGUUCUUAGGUUCAUGGUACAGAAGAAGGGUCAAACUAACACCAGGGUCAUAAAACUACUCUUGGAAAUCCACACAACUCCUAUGAAAGCCUUGUCAAAUAUGCGUUUUUGGGUGACGAAAUAUCUUAUAAUACAACCCAAUUUUGUCUCAAGCUCCAAAAACUCGCGGUAAGAACUCAAAGGAGAGGAAAUUAGUUUGACAUAAGUGGAAUAAACUAUCCACAAGUGUCGUCCGCGGCCCUUGCGCCAACAACUUAAAAAUCAGAUUAGACAACUUAUGAGGAGUUAGCACCCUCCCUCUUGACUAUCACUAAGGUAAACAAUCUCUACAUAAUGGCUAAUAAGUACUCGCUCUACAAAUACAACCGAUACUUAUCAAUCGGCUAUAAUUCUGUUAACACUGGGAGAGCGAGAUUCUACCGGGGAGAGA
Long non-coding RNA from Eriocheir sinensis (Chinese mitten crab), 887 nucleotides. RefSeq lists it as uncharacterized. NCBI's taxonomy places the organism in Eukaryota, Metazoa, Arthropoda, Malacostraca, Decapoda, Varunidae. The transcript is spliced from 3 exons. The record is from RefSeq and is a predicted model, not a curated record.